GGCCUCGUAGCUCAGCUGGUAGGGCGUGCACGUACAAAAACGUAGACGGCGUUCAUGCGUGUGGGUUCGAACCCCACCGAGGUUA
RNAcentral lists this transfer RNA (85 nucleotides) under Echinostoma caproni. It matches the Rfam family "tRNA". Rfam says of the family: Transfer RNA (tRNA) molecules are approximately 80 nucleotides in length. Their secondary structure includes four short double-helical elements and three loops (D, anti-codon, and T loops). The record is from Rfam by way of RNAcentral. Lineage: Eukaryota; Metazoa; Platyhelminthes; Trematoda; Plagiorchiida; Echinostomatidae.